GAUGAACGCUGGCGGCGUGCCUAACACAUGCCAGUCGAGCGAACGGACGAGAAGCUUGCUUCUCUGAUGUUAGCGGCGGACGGGCGAGUAACACGUGGAUAACCUACCUAUAAGACUGGGAUAACUUCGGGAAACCGCAGCUAAUACCGGCUAAUAUUUUGAACCGCAUGGUUCAAAAGUGAAAGACGGUCUUGCUGUCACUUAUAGAUGGAUCCGCGCUGCAUUAGCUAGUUGGUAAGGUAACGGCUUACCAAGGCAACGAUGCAUAGCUGACCUGAGAGGGUGAUCAGCCACACUGGAACUGAGACACGGUCCAGACUCCUACGGGAGGCAGCAGUGGGGAAUAUUCCGCAAUGGGCGAAAGCCUGACGGAGCAACGCCGCGUGAGUGAUGAAGGUCUUCGGAUCGUAAAGCUCUGUUAUUAGGAAAGAACAGAUGUAUAAGUAACUGUGCAUGUCUUGACGGUACCUAAUCAGAAAGCCACGGCUAACUACGUG
This 497-nucleotide ribosomal RNA is filed under the name uncultured bacterium. RNAcentral describes it as "partial 16S ribosomal RNA". It matches the Rfam family "Bacterial small subunit ribosomal RNA", at positions 28 to 507 of the family's 1533-position model. The record is from RNAcentral.